CCCUACGGGAGGCAGCAGUGGGGAAUAUUGCACAAUGGGGGAAACCCUGAUGCAGCGACGCCGCGUGAGUGAAGAAGUAUUUCGGUAUGUAAAGCUCUAUCAGCAGGGAAGAUAAUGACGGUACCUGACUAAGAAGCCCCGGCUAACUACGUGCCAGCAGCCGCGGUAAUACGUAGGGGGCAAGCGUUAUCCGGAUUUACUGGGUGUAAAGGGAGCGCAGGCGGCGCGGUAAGUCUGAUGUGAAAGCCCGGGGCUCAACCCCGGGACUGCAUUGGAAACUGUCGUGCUGGAGUGUCGGAGGGGCA
RNAcentral lists this ribosomal RNA (305 nucleotides) under uncultured bacterium. Its description in RNAcentral is "bacterial SSU rRNA". It matches the Rfam family "Bacterial small subunit ribosomal RNA", at positions 337 to 659 of the family's 1533-position model. The record is from RNAcentral.